Molecule: ribosomal RNA, 426 nt
Filed under: uncultured bacterium
Lineage: Bacteria
Description: partial 16S ribosomal RNA
Rfam family: Bacterial small subunit ribosomal RNA
Source: RNAcentral
GUGAGGAAUUUUCCGCAAUGGGCGAAAGCCUGACGGAGCAAUGCCGCGUGAAGGAUGAAGGCCUAUGGGUUGUAAACUUCUUUUCUCAGAAAAGAAUUAUGACGGUAUCUGAGGAAUAAGCAUAGGCUAACUCUGUGCCAGCAGCCGCGGUAAGACAGAGGAUGCAAGCGUUAUCCGGAAUGAUUGGGCGUAAAGCGUCUGUAGGUUGUUUAAAAAGUAUUCUGUCAAAGAUUAGGGCUUAACCCUAGAUAGGCAGAAUAAACUUUUAAGCUAGAGUUUGGUAGAGGCAGAGGGAAUUCCCGGUGGAGCGGUGAAAUGCGUAGAUAUCGGGAGGAACACCAAAGGCGAAGGCACUCUGCUGGGCCAAUACUAACACUGAGAGACGAAAGCGAGGGGAGCAAAUGGGAUUAGAUACCCGUGUAGUCC